Molecule: microRNA, 22 nt
Filed under: Heligmosomoides polygyrus
Lineage: Eukaryota; Metazoa; Nematoda; Chromadorea; Rhabditida; Heligmosomidae
Description: hpo-miR-86-3p
Gene: hpo-miR-86-3p
Source: miRBase by way of RNAcentral
CUGGGCUGAGGUUCGCUUAGGC